GAUGAACGCUGGCGGCGUGCCUAAUACAUGCAAGUCGAGCGAACAGAUGAGGAGCUUGCUCCUCUGACGUUAGCGGCGGACGGGUGAGUAACACGUGGAUAACCUACCUAUAAGACUGGGAUAACUUCGGGAAACCGGAGCUAAUACCGGAUAAUAUAUUGAACCGCAUGGUUCAAUAGUGAAAGACGGUUUUGCUGUCACUUAUAGAUGGAUCCGCGCCGCAUUAGCUAGUUGGUAAGGUAACGGCUUACCAAGGCAACGAUGCGUAGCCGACCUGAGAGGGUGAUCGGCCACACUGGAACUGAGACACGGUCCAGACUCCUACGGGAGGCAGCAGUAGGGAAUCUUCCGCAAUGGGCGAGAGCCUGACGGAGCAACGCCGCGUGAGUGAUGAAGGUCUUCGGAUCGUAAAACUCUGUUAUUAGUGAAGAACAAAUGUGUAAGUAACUAUGCACGUCUUGACGGUACCUAAUCAGAAAGCCACGGCUAACUACGUG
RNAcentral lists this ribosomal RNA (497 nucleotides) under uncultured bacterium. Its description in RNAcentral is "partial 16S ribosomal RNA". It matches the Rfam family "Bacterial small subunit ribosomal RNA", at positions 28 to 507 of the family's 1533-position model. The record is from RNAcentral.